This 918-nucleotide long non-coding RNA is filed under the name Equus caballus (horse). RNAcentral describes it as "lncRNA (ENSECAG00000051644.1)". The record is from RNAcentral. Lineage: Eukaryota; Metazoa; Chordata; Mammalia; Perissodactyla; Equidae.
ACCCCGCCUAUGCUGGCCCGCAGGUUUCCCCAGGGCUUGCUGUUGGGUGGGGCCAGUCCCUAGGGCAGGCUGCCUGCCCUGGCUGAGCUGGAUUAAAUCAGUGCUCUGGUGGGUGGGGCACACCCUGUGCUAACAGACCAGGGGAAGAACUCCCAUGGUGUCUGCCAGCAUCUGUGUCAGCGUGCCUGUACUUGGUCACAAUAAUGGCUGCCACCCAUGUCUCAGUCCCUGGAGAGCUCUCACCGAGAUGCACCCAGAGCUUAUCAGGUCCCCAGGAGCCACACUGCAGAGAGCAUGGGAUGGAGCAGCCACAGCAGCCACCUCUCACUAACCACCUGCUACGUGCCAGCCACUCUCUCUCUGACCCCGCUGCAACCCCGUAAUGGUGGUAGUAGUACUUUGCAGCUGAGAAGAGUAAGCUCAGAGAGAUUAAGACACUUGGCAAAGUCCCCUCAGCUGGUUGGUGGUGGAACAGGAUUGAACUUAGAUUGUCCUACGCUGGAGUUGGACCCUUUCCCCUGUACUUCUCCUUACUGACGCGGAAGCAGGCUGCCUCCAUGUAGAGCUCCGCAGAAGCAAAUCCUUUGGAUCUGAAGAAACUGGAGAGGCUCAAAGAAGUGGAGACGGCACUGGGCUGGGCUUCAGAGCUCCGAGUGGCUUGAUUCUGCCUCACUUCCUGUGCGGCGUUAGAGGAUUUUCCCAAUUGUGAAGCAGAGGGGCGGAGCUGUAACAGGGAAGCUUUGGGGCCAGCAGAAAGUGCUCUGGUUCCUCUCUGGCCCUCGGGACCGUGGGGCUGGGAGGCAGGUGGCGCAGCUCCUCUCCAGAUAGAGCACAGCAGCAUCCCUGUAUCCCUCCCUCAGGCAGCCUGCAGCACCUUCUCGCCUUCAUUUUCUGUGCAUGCCCAUCAGUGUAGUAAAU